This is a long non-coding RNA of Aquila chrysaetos chrysaetos, 151 nucleotides long. RefSeq lists it as uncharacterized. The transcript is spliced from 2 exons. Lineage: Eukaryota; Metazoa; Chordata; Aves; Accipitriformes; Accipitridae. The record is from RefSeq and is a predicted model, not a curated record.
GUAUGACUUAAGAAUCUAUUUUAUCCUAGUAUUUUUGUAUUAAGUUAUAAGCAUGCCAGUUUGUAUUCACUUUAUACUGCAUAUCUGAGGAUGUUACUUAAAAAUUUAGUAAAGGGGGCAUGUAAGCUUCCAAUGCAAAUACUGCAAACAA